GAGUAAUGUCUGGGAAACUGCCUGAUGGAGGGGGAUAACUACUGGAAACGGUAGCUAAUACCGCAUAACGUCGCAAGACCAAAGAGGGGGACCUUCGGGCCUCUUGCCAUCGGAUGUGCCCAGAUGGGAUUAGCUAGUAGGUGGGGUAACGGCUCACCUAGGCGACGAUCCCUAGCUGGUCUGAGAGGAUGACCAGCCACACUGGAACUGAGACACGGUCCAGACUCCUACGGGAGGCAGCAGUGGGGAAUAUUGCACAAUGGGCGCAAGCCUGAUGCAGCCAUGCCGCGUGUAUGAAGAAGGCCUUCGGGUUGUAAAGUACU
RNAcentral lists this ribosomal RNA (323 nucleotides) under Escherichia coli. RNAcentral's name for it is "bacterial SSU rRNA". It matches the Rfam family "Bacterial small subunit ribosomal RNA", at positions 108 to 434 of the family's 1533-position model. The record is from RNAcentral. Lineage: Bacteria; Pseudomonadati; Pseudomonadota; Gammaproteobacteria; Enterobacterales; Enterobacteriaceae.